Molecule: long non-coding RNA, 10519 nt
Organism: Mirounga angustirostris (Northern elephant seal)
Lineage: Eukaryota; Metazoa; Chordata; Mammalia; Carnivora; Phocidae
Exons: 6
Source: RefSeq, a predicted model, not a curated record
CACCCCAUGUUACAGAUGAAGCUCAGAGAGCCUCAGCAGCUCACGUGCCCCAAGUCUCAGAGAGAUGGGGCAGAGCAAGGAUUGAAACCCAAGCCAGUCUGGCCAGAGGACCCACGUGCUUUCCUCAACUCAGCAUGCCACCUCUGCCGGGUCACCACCCAUCAUCACAACCACUGUGUUCCCACCACUUACCCGCACUGCCGGGUCACCACCACUCACCAUGUCACCCGGUCAUCACUCCCCACUACUGCCUACGGGUCACUAGUGCUUUAUAAUCACAUUGACAGCCACUGGUGGAUUUCGGUCAUCAGUAUUUUCUAGGUAAUUGAUACAUUAGGUGUUCAGUUGCAAGACAUAUGCAAUUUCCACUGGAUAUUUUCUGGAGGAUCUGACAGAUCUAGACUCAACUCUAGAACCUUCCAAGAUAUGACAUAACCAUAUAGAAGGCUGAGCCUCCUGGAUGUCGGGAAUGCUGUGUCCUUAUCCUCCAGGUUUCCCUAUAGAUAAAUCCAUUUGUCUACAAAGUCAAGGAGGCAGGCAGGGGACAUUCACAUAGAACCUUUCAGGCUGCGGUAAGGAGUCUGGAUGUCAGUUUAAGACAGACUUUUGCACAGGAGGGGUGAUAUGAUCCGGACUUCCGAGAAAGGAAGCUUAGCGACAGCAGCCCAGAGUCCACUGCAGUGGCUCUGGCAAGAGAGGGUGGGCACCUUGGACUUGGGUGUGCUGGUAAGAAGGAAAGAAAUGGAUACACUCAGAAAUCAUUUCAGAGGCACAGGCAAACUAGACUUAAUGAAGAGCUGGAUGUGAGGAGUGAGGGUGAAGAGAAGAACCAAAGCUGACUCAUAGGAUUUUGUUUGGAAAAACUUGAAAAGCCAAGACAAGACAAGAAAGAGUGAGGUAAAAUCAGAUUUGGGGAAAUCUUGUGCUUUGCUUGAGAUGAAUCUGAUUUAGAGAUGCCUGUUAAAAUCAAAGUAGAAAAGACCAUGCAUUAUGUGUGUAUGGGCUCUGAACGGAUACAGAAAUUCAGGAGUCAGGAGCUCAGAGAUAGCACUUAAAAUAGCACGAGUGGAGGAGAUCACCAAAGAGGCAGUGUGCAGAGAGAAGAAAAGUGAGGUGGGAAAUGAACUCUGGACGCCGCAGGACUUAGAGAAGAGGCAACAGCUGUGGCCAUGAAGGCUAAGAAGGAGCAGGAGGAAAGCAAAGAGUGUGUGGUGUUCUGGAAGCAGAGAGAAUAAAGGGCAUCCGGAAGGAGGACUGUCAAUUGUGUCAAAUAAGAUGAAGACAGACCUGCCCACUGAAUUUGGUAGCAAUAAAUCACAGCACAUUGCCAUAUAAAUGGUUACAUCUAAGCUACCGAAAAGAAUAUUAUUUAUUCUCCAUAUAUGUAAUAAGUACCUACUAUGUGCCAGAUAGUCUUUCAGGGCAGUGGGGUAUAGAGAUUCAUAAGACAUGCUCUCUGCUCUCAAGGAGUUAACAGUAAUGAGGAAGAAAGAGGCAAUAACCAGUAUUUUCAUUGCUUUGUUAUCCCACUGAUCUUACAACAUUCUGGUGCUUCGGUUUGUGCCAUUUUGCCAUUUUACCAAUAAGGAAAGCGAAGCAGAGGGAGGUCAAGAUAUGCCUCAGAUAUUCAAUGACAAAGCCAAGGCUUGACUCUAACAUCAGACUUCCAAACGGGAAUUCCCAAACAUGAUUGGGAAAUGGCCAAGGACCAGGCAUCUUAGCACUAGGAGGACACUCAUCUGAAAUACAGAUGCACCUAGGAUAAGCCUGAUGCUUUCUUGUCCAGUCAGUGCAGACUCAGAUCAAGUGCCCACAGCCACCCACCCAAGAGUCUUAGAUAAAAAUGUCUAUACCUACACUGAUAAAGGUACCAAAAUAAUUCAGUGGGGGACAGGAAGUUCUUUUUUCUUUUCUUUUCUUUUCAAUAAAUAUUUCUGUGGCGCCUGGGUGGCUCAGUUGGUUAAGUGUCGGCUCAGGUCAUGAUCCCCAGGGUCCUGGGAUGGAGCAUAGUCAGCUCCCUGCUCAGUGGGAAGUCUGCAUCUCCCUCUGCCCCUCCCCCACCACAUGCGCGAACGUUCUCUCUCUCUCUCUCUGUCACUUGCACUCUCUCUCAAGUAAAUAAAUCAAAUCUUUAAAAAAAUGUUUCUGAAGCAACUAGAUAUUAUAUGGGAAAAAAAAUCCUGACAACUACCUCACACUACACACUAAAAUUAAUUCAAGUUGGAUCAUAAACCUAAGUGUAAAAACUAAAACUUUAUAGUUUAGUUUCUAGAAGAAAACAUGAGAAUGUCUCUGUGAUGUUGGGGGUGGGCAAAGAAUUCUCAGGACACAAAAAAAGCAGUAACCAUGAAAUUUAAAAAGAGGUAAAUGUGAGGGGGUGCCUGGCUGGCUCGGUCGGUAGAGCAUAUGACACUUGAUCUCAGGGUCUUGAGUUCAAGCCCCACAAUUGGGUAUAGAGAUUACUUAUAAAAAGUAUUUUUAAACCAAGAAAAUACACAAAAUACUUUGGGGCGCCUGGGUGGCUAAGUUGGUUAGGCAUCUGCCUUCGGCUCGGGUCAUGGUCCCAGGGUCCUGGGAUCGAGCCCCGAAUCAGGUGCCCUGUUCGGCGGGGAGCCUGCUUUUCCCUCUCCAGUUCCCUGUGCUUGUUUCCCUCUCUCUCUAUCUCUCUCUGUCAGAUAAAUAAAAUCUUAAAAAAAAUAAAUAAAAAAGAGGUAAAUGUGACUUCUGUUUAUUAAAAGGCAUCAUUACAAAAGAGCAAAGGCCAGCUAAAAACUGGGAGAACCUCUUCACUACACAUUUAGCUGACUGACAACUCAAAUCCAGAAUGUAGAAAUUUCUUCACUUAACCACCAGUGGUCUUGAUUGCAUGCCCCUACAUCAUGCUCUUCCAGCUUUGGGAAAGGCCCUCCUGCCUGAGGAGGGUGCCCCUGACUGGUGGAGAUGAUGAUGUUCCCUCAGCCAUGUUGAUCCCAAGAAGAUGAGGACUUUGGGAACAAAGAUUUUUGAAAAAUUAAAGCCAGUUCAUAGGUUCGUUUUUCUUUGCAAGUGGCAGCCAGGAGAAGAACCAGAGGUUCUGUGGUUCAGGACUCCAGACUUGCCCUGACAUUUUUUUGCCAGGAUUCUCCAGAGACACAGGACCAAUAAUUGUGUGUGUGUGUACAGGUGCGUGCGUGCGUACGUGCGUGUGAAGAGACUUAUUUUGAGGAAUUGGCUCAUGUGCUUACGGAGGCUGGUAGGGUGGGUUGGCAUCUCCUGGCUGGAGAUCCAGAAAAAAGGCAAGCAGUCCGCUGGCAGAAUUCCUUCUUGUUCCAGGCAGAUGUGUCUUUUGUUCUACUUAGACCUUUAACUGAUGGGAUAAGGGCCACCUACAUUAUGGAGGGCAAUCUGCAAUACUCAAAGUCCACCCACGAAAAUGUAAAUAUUAUCUAAAAACGCCCUUACAGAAACAUCCAGAAUAAGGUUGGAGCAGAUAUUUAGGUACUGUGGCCCAACCAAAUUGACACAAAACUAACCACUGCCCCAAGUGUGCUACUGAAUUCUACCCACCUAGUGGAGACAUGAUCAGAGACUGACGGAUUCUCACAGAGUUUGGAUGCAGCUAUGACAAGCCCACAACAUUACUGCCAGGCAGGAAAUGGGUCGGAAGUUGAGGCAGGAAAUAAGAAAGCUGGUUUUCAGCUUUAUGAAAUGUGCUCCUGUUGGUGGAAGGUUGUGUGCCUCCGGUGGAUUGAGGGAAAGAUAAUUGAUUCAGGGACAUAAAAUCAAGACAACUGGAUAGCCUCGUGAGGCUCUCAGAAGAAAGAAUCUAAAAGCAUAAGGGAGACAAAAUCAGGUUUACCUGGUGGCCACUGUGUCUGAGUAGAAACUGGUGGAUGAAUGAAGACAGCGUAACAAAGGCAGCCCACACAGGAGGAACCCAAAGAUAUGAUUAAGUGCUGUUUAGGCACAGAUUGACCAAAACCAGGGGCUACUGGAGAAAAACAAAAAUGAGCAUGACAUAAGAUUAAAAAUGUCAAAAAGUCCCACAGUGGUCUGCCUUUCCUCGGGGGAUUAUAAAGAACUGUAGCAGAACACCAGCCAAAAAUGGCAAAAGAAAGGCUGCAAAGAAAACUCAGGAAGCCCAGCCCACUGAAGAGGGAACUUUGGGGUCCAAUGCAUACUUGGUGAUGUGCCAGUCUGUGGACCCUCUUGUGGACCCCUAACCUUCCCCAUCUGCACAUAUGCACAUAAUAUAGAUUAAGUAAGUGAGGGUAGGAGAUCUUUGCCCAAAUUCCAUUAUCUUACACUGUAUCCCAGAAUUCCUGUUGGUUUUGAAGGAAAUAUAACUACUGUAAUGGAUCUAAAAAAUGCACAAAUGGUAUUCCGUAUCUGAAAAUUGUUCUAAUUAACUUUUGAUCUUUUGCCCAGUUAAAGACUUAAUUUUUUGUAAUGUCAGGUCUUGUUUAAACUAUAUCUUGUUUCUUCUCAUAAUAGAAAUUUGUCUUCAGUUUUGAUACCUAAUUGCUUUGAGGAUUUUAAUACCGAAUUUUUUUCUUUGUUUCUUUCUUUUUUUUUAAGGCGGGGGGAGGACAGUGGGAGAGAGAGAAUCUUAAGCAGGCUCCACCCCCAGCAUGGAGCCAGAUGUGCGACUCCAUGCAGGGCUCGAUCUUACAACCCUGAGAUUACGACCCUGAGAGCACAACCUGAGCCUCAACCAAGAGUCAGACGCUUAACCAACUAGUGACUCAGGGCAAGUCAGGAUUCUUACUCCAAGGGGCAGAUAUCUGUGCCAGACAGGCGAUGAAUGACUCUAGGCUCUGCUUACAACCCCUGGGCUUCGGGUUUCUGGACAGAACGUGUGCGACACUCAGUCCAGACAUGAAGGUGAUUUAGUGUGGUAGGACCACAGAAAAACCAGACGACCGUUCCUGUGUGGACCCACCUGGUCUCACUUCUGGACACAGACAAGUUCCUGAAAAGACAUGGUGUAAGCAUCUGUGGCCUGAGACAAAAAGCCUAAAGAUGAGUAUCUUCACUGGCUCUGUGGAGCUCGUGCCAGCAGCUGCAUCCGAGGCCAGAGCUCCCCAACCAGACAUCUUGGUCUCGAAGCACUUUGCUCUUCAACACCCUUGUAUCGAGCCUUUCCUAUGGGACAGGCCGACUAGCCUGGUCCCUGCUCCACCUGGGGAGGAGGCCGCUCUUUGGCCAAGUGAGGAGCUCCUGGCAUGGCACCCAGCAAAGGGCCAGAUGAUGUGGUUCCGGAGGCUAGAGACGAUUAUGCCCGCUUUACGGAGAAGGAGGCUAAGGAGCAAAUGCAGACCUGAGAUCACACCUGAGUCUGCAGACCGCAGAGCAUUUUCACCGUGCUGUUCCAGAUGGAAGGGUAAAGAUGAGGAACACAAUGGUGACAGUACUGGGGCCACUCAUGGGACCCAAGGCAGGGGACACAGGCCUUGUGGACUCUGGGUUGAACACCCUGAGGCCUGGUGGGAGGGGAAGUCAGGGCAGGGUGUGUGUAGUCCUUACUUUUAGCCGUCAGUGUCUUCAAUGAAUGAGGAAGAGAGAAGACAAUGUUAAAAGGACUCUCCCCACUUGCCACAUGCACACACGAUUUGUUAGGAUGUGAUUUGUGUGUGUGAUUUGAUAAUGGGGUCAAGAGGCUGCCCUGGCCACAGACUCUGCCUGCCCACCCCCUCCCCGGCUCCCCCUGCCUCCAAGGCUGGGCAUGAGGCUGCUGACUUGAACCCUUCGCCUCCUCUGCUCAUAAGCUAAGGGUUUAUCUCAUCUGCCCCAACAGCAAAGCCUGUUUGGGAGGGUUCUGGCUGCUCUGGCAAGCCUGCUUUCUCCCUUUCCUGGGCUGUUCCUGUCUCGGUCUCUCCUUUUUCUGCCUUCCUUCCCUCUUUGCCCUGUCUCUCCUUGUCUCUGUUUUGGAAGGAGUUCUCAGAAGACGCACGCACAUCCUCAUGGUCUUGAUUUCCUGUCCCCACUGUCCCUUUUCCUGCAUGCUUUUUGUUAGGUUCUUAACUCCUGGUGUUUUCAUCCUGUAUGUGUGACAUGGGGAGGAGAAGAGGACAGGGCAUAUUAGAAAGACUAGGCCGUGGGUGACCACUUUGUUAAAUGGAAGUGACAGUGAUGACCGACAUGGGAGAAAAGAGGACUCAGUCUGACUGUCUGCGGGUCCCUUCCUGCAAAGCUCGUCUGGCCGGGUGGGGCAGGGGAGGGGAUCGAAGGCUGGACUGCUACCCUGGCUAUACAGUCAGUGGGGAGGGAGCACCCCGUGGCUACAGGGAAGGUCAAGACCAAUGUCCCUCUCCAGCCGCUUCUGCUUAAGAAAUUCUGGAGUUGGGGAGUUGUCCGUGUUUGUGUAUUAAGGGGAGCCAGAGUUGCUGAAUUUUUUUUCUGGAUUUAUCUGAAGACUUGUACAAAAAAUACCAGUCUAGUUAAUCCCUUUUCAGCCCCCAAGGGCCUGAGGCCAUUUAGAACCUCCUGCUAGUGGUCAGCACUAGCGCGUUAUGGCCAAAGGGCCCUGACUGCUCGUUCUAGGCCUCUGCGUGGACCCCCACCCCUGACACACAACACGCACGGUGCUGGGUGGUGUCUAGCUACACAGCCCCCCCGUGCGUGUCUCAUCUGGUAUCCUAAUGAGGGAGGUCAACCCUUUCAGGGACCAGCGUGGCCCCUAAGGGUGAACCAAGUGCUACCAGGACAAGGGCAGAAUUUUCAAGGUGGGCUCUCCCCUUUACAAACUCUGCAGGGGCAAAUCGGGAUGAGCAAGGAGGUUCUGCUCACCAUGACAGAGCUCCACUAUUCCCUUGCUACAACAGGCCUGGCUCAUUCUUUCCCCCAUUCUGGAAAGGACACCCAGGAAGGCCUAUGUCUGGUGCAAUGGUUCAGCGGUCUGGGGAAGGAGCCAGCUUUUGCCGGGCCUUCGCCUUGAACCUAAUCCAGGCCUCAGUGCCGGGGAGUCACGAGAAGCCCAGCCUGGAGCUGGCAGAACCUUCCUGUGGCCAGGACUGACUGCUGAAUUAGCAUGCCCCCCUUUAAGCGCCGGGCCAGGGAGAGCCACAGAAGCAGAGGAGGUGUGAGGGGGCCUGCGAGGGAAGGAAACAUCACUGACGGAAGGUGCCUAGAGGGAGGGGCUAGUGGUCACAACGAGCCACGAGCCCCGGUUUCACACAGUGUCAUCGAAGAUCCACAUUCUACAGAUGUGAAGACUGAAGGCCGGGGAGGCGACUCACCCAGUCACACAGUUAAGAAGGGACAGGAUGGAACCUGUGUCUGACCCCCUCGUCAUCCUCCACACCACACAUACCUGGCAUGUGGCAGGUGCUUAAUGCACAUGGUCAGCAAAUAUGAGUGAAUGAACAGACGGACGAACGAAAGAACUGACCAACUGCCCAUGCUCGAAGUGGGCCUUGAGGGAUGACUGGGCUACAGGGGCGGAGAGGACCAGCAAGUGCAUUCCAGGCUGGGCAGAUGAGAUGAGCACGUGGGGCUGUGCCAGGCUGGGGGAAGAGAGCUGGCUGGAGCAGCAGGUGGGUGAUGCCUCAGUGGGGUCCUGGGAGGGGUCCUCCCCCCAGCCAACCUCCCAGGUCGUGGCUUCACUGGGCUCGCUGGGGAGGAAAUGGGUCUGUUCGGGGUGGGGGGAUGCUCAUGCUCACCUAGUACCUUUCCCCUGAAAUUAAACCCUUAGCCAUGUGGCCAAGGGAGGCUCACACCUACAGAAGAAGCUAAGAACGGGGACAACUACCUAGCCAAAAUUUGGGAGCAUUGGCUGUCAGCAUCGUCCCCACCAUCCGCACCACCUUCAUCACUGCCAUGGUCUCGGGCACCAUGGUCAUCACCAUGCCACCACGAAAUUCGGUGGUGAAGACUUUGGCCGGGGAAGCUUACUGGGUCUCUAGCCCGGUGCCAUCACGCACUAACCGGAUGAGCUUGGGCACACUUUACAAUCUGUCUAUGCCUCACGUUCCUCAUAAAAGGUCAUGCAUAUGAAGUUCUUAGCAUCCUGUUUGGCGCAUGGUGUCAGGAUAAGUUAGCUCUUGUUAUCACUGUUAUUAUUUUUAUCGUAAUGAGCCUUCCAAGUGGAGAUGUUGUGGUUACCGUAGCACCUGAUUGAGAGUGUGGGAAUGAGACUGACUCCUCCCCACUUUUCAGGCAAGGAAAAGGUUAAGACCUAAGAAGCAAACACACUUGUCCAGACGGCCCAGCUCCGGAACCUGGGCAGCCAGUGGGUGGGAAGCAACGUUCUGCCCCUCCCCGUGUGCCUGCCUCUUUCAUUCCUCCCCUCGGGCAGAGACCCCCAGCCUUUCCCUCUGGGUGCAGGCUCGGCUGAAAUGUACUCCAAAUUGUCCAUUAAAACACACUGCCACUUUAUGGUUUGUUUGCUCCUAAAGACGUGAAACGCAAGCUUAUCAAACAAAAGUCACACUUCGCCAUGCCACCUUGAGUGGUAAAUUCCAUCAUUAUUUGCGCCCUCCGGCCCCCACGAAGAACACUGAGUUCCCACCGGAGCUGGAGACGCGCUCCAAAGAUUGACCUUCGGCACCCCUCACCCCUUCAGCCAUGGGCCCAGUCACAAGGCAGGCGAGGUGGGGGCCAGACAGGUGGGGAAGAGCCCAGAGAUCCUGUCUACCCAGCGGGGCACCUUGCGUAAGUUUUUAAACUUCUCUGAGUGUUAAUAUCCUCAUCUGCACAAUGAACUUAAUGAUAGGAGCGUCCUCACUGGCUUGGGACAAGAAGUAAUCAAAUGAUACGUCAAAGCACUUAACCCCAUGCCUGGCCUCUGAGAAGAGCUCAACAUACUGUAGCCAAUAGAGAGAAGUUGUUGUAUUGUCUUCUGGGCGUUCAAACCACACCUUGGAUGUGGCACAAGCUGGAACUGGCCCAGGUUCUAGACAGACCAGGCUGGAGUCCCGGGAUGGGGUCAGGGAGGCGCAGAGGCAGGGCUGUGGGCAUUCGUCGGGAAAGAAAUUGGCAGUCUGUGACAAAAAGCAGGGCUCUAAGGGAGGUCAGCUCUCAUACUUUUUAUCCAAAACUCUGCUCGGUUGAGAGCUUCAGCCCGAUUGCCUCCAGCACCAGAAGCCCUCAUAGCGGGGAGGGAGAUUCUUUGCUGGGUCUGGAAGUGGGGGCUGGCCCACACAGCAGCUCUGCCCCAGGCUUUGGCCGGGCACUUCGGGGAAGAGAAAGUGUCAGGUAAGAUACAGCCCCUGACCUUUUGGAACUUCUGAUGUGGGGUGGUGGCCAUGAGGCUCGUUCGCUAUGUUUCCAUUACUCCUGCUUCUGAGCACACUAUAGGAUCACUUUCUUCUCUCCACACUUCUCCUCGCCCCCGGGUCCGGUGUGGCCAUGUGACUGCAUCAGCCUAUCAGAUGGGAGGAGUGACAGGCAGCACCUCCAGACGGAUGCUCGGAAGAGCUGAUGCCACACUCCCUUCCUCCCACCGUAACGACGGCAGCUGGGCGAGGCUCCAUCCGCCUGUGUCUUCGAAUGAAGAUGAUGGGGAGCACAGCCUCCCACACACCACGGUGGGCUUGCUGGCUGGGCCCGGGGCCACGCAGGUCUGAAGAAGCCGGGCACCGACCACGGUGGGGACAGAGGCCAGCCUCCAGGGGCAAGACUAGGUGGCUUCGUGCUGUCUGAUUAAUCAACACAGAGGAGGCACUUUCCCCCUGAUUCUGGGAUCCCUCAGAUGCCACGCCCAGCUGAGCUGUGAAGGCCCGGACCAAGCACAAUACAAUACCAUUUGUUACCUGUUCUACAUGCUGAUUCUGAUUCACCUCUUACCCCAUCCUCCACACACACACACACACACACACACACACACACACACACACACAGCCCAGCCAGUGACCCCUUCUCCUGUCUCUGACCUUGCUGAGCCCUUCGGAUUUGCCCUACCUGAUCAAUUACACUCUCCCCAGGCCCAGAGCCCCAGCAACACCUUGCAGUGGCCUUGGCCCUGGGCCCUCCAGCCCAUGCUGUCUGUCCUCCCACUCACCCUGAAUUUGGCAGGAAGCACAAAUACCAGUGCCAACGCAAUAUGACAAGGGGAACCAGAAAUGAGGAUUGAACAUUUGGCAGCUACAACAAAAAUUUAAACAAACAGAAGGUACCUUACUGAGUGUUGUCCUUCAGAACAUUCUUCCGGGGGGUGAUGCGCUUGAUCCCGAGAUGCUGUCCUGGGCCACACAGUUUCUGGAGUCAUCCGUGGGAGUCCUGAGUCAGCUGAUUCAGCAGCAACCAAGCCCUGCCACACAUUGGAGUAAAAAAUACAACACUCGAAUCCCCCUGCAGUUUGGGAGACAUGGACCCUGGAGGUGGGUUAUUUUGUAAGAGCCUCGGCCAGGGUUGAGCCUCGGCACCCCCACUUCUGGUGCAGUGUCUGGCCCGUGCUCAAGAGACGUUUCCUAUAGGUCUCGAGGAUGGCAUUGAUCGUCCUGCAUUUCUCCUGGUUAAAGACCCCAUUUCCUCAGAUGUGUUUUGUAAGUCUUUUGUAAGUCUUAAAAAUGUUUCAUUAAAGCAAAUGCUUAAAUACUGA